UCAUCUGUAGCCUUUUCUGAAUUGCUGUUUCAAAUUAAAAAUGGGAAAAUUACCAAGACAAAGUAUCACAUUUAGCAUAUUUAAUUAGUAGAGAGAAAGAUAGUUUGUAGAAUGCUUAUGACUCAUGUCAUAGUCCGCAAUUGGUGGGUAGAAAAUGUAGAAAACUGAGUAAUACCAUUAUUUUGUGUAUUGGGCCGUCUUUCAUCAUGGAAACUUCUAUUUUCAAUUUUCUUUUCCACUUAUAAUUUGUGUUUAUCAUUGGAAAACAGUGUUCAUUUCGAUUCUAUUAUCUACUACAUUCUAUCAUUCAAUUCACGUUGUGUGUGGUAUUAGAUCGACAAAAUGGGAAGAAAUGUUAUAAGAAUAUGAUUUAGAAAUGUAAAUGCUUGAAAAAUAAUAACAGGAGGUUGUUAUGUUAGUGAAGUCAACGGUGAUGAAGUGCAGUCACAGACAGAGGUGCUGCUGCUGCUGUGAUGUGAUACAAGACAUAUGCGCAUGAGUUUUCCAAUUG
This 511-nucleotide unclassified non-coding RNA is filed under the name Hevea brasiliensis (rubber tree). The record is from RNAcentral. Lineage: Eukaryota; Viridiplantae; Streptophyta; Magnoliopsida; Malpighiales; Euphorbiaceae.